UACGGAGGGUGCAAGCGUUGUUCGGAAUUACUGGGCGUAAAGCGUGCGCAGGCGGUUGUGCAAGACAGAUGUGAAAUCCCCGGGCUUAACCUGGGAAUGGCAUUUGGGACUGCAAGGCUCGAGUGCGGCAGAGGAGACUGGAAUUCCUGGUGUAGCAGUGAAAUGCGUAGAUAUCAGGAGGAACACCGAUGGCGAAGGCAGGUCUCUGGGCUGACACUGACGCUCAUGCACGAAAGCGUGGGGAGCAAACAGG
Molecule: ribosomal RNA, 253 nt
Filed under: uncultured bacterium
Lineage: Bacteria
Description: partial 16S ribosomal RNA
Rfam family: Bacterial small subunit ribosomal RNA
Source: RNAcentral